CUCAAAUUAAAUGUUUCAAAAUUUGAUAAAUAGUAUUUACAGCCUAGCAGAUAGUGUGGAAGCAGGAACGAUGGAGUCGGACAACGCAGUAAAUGAAAUUGAAGAGUUGACCGAAGCUAUUGGAGUUGUUUCCGCACUUUCCGACCGCGACUUUUGCAGGAGAGUGGCAGAAAAUUUAGAAGAAGUACGCCAUCGCUUAGCUCGCAGUACAACCAGGCCUCUACACCACCCAGAAGGAUCGGGGAAUUUCGUAUUUGAUAUUCCAACUACAGUUCUUGAGCAGCAGGUUCUUAGUGGAAUACCAGCAAGUGAAAUUGCAACAAUGUUUGGAGUUUCAACGAGGACCAUUGCAGUUGAUGUUUUGUUUGUGCAGAAAGCAAGACCUUUAUUCAACUGUGGACGAUGCUGAGUUGGACCGCAUGGUUAUUGAAAUACACAGAAGACAUCCAAACACCGGGUACAAGCUCAUGCGUGGUCAUCUAAAUGCAAGAGGCUCAAGAGUACUAGAAUCUCUACGCAGAGUCAAUGCAGAAGGAGUUCACAUGAGACGUUUAAGGCUGCGUGUGUCAAGGCGAAGGCAGUAUUCUGUACCUGGCCCGAAUUCCUUGUGGCAUAUAGAUGGGAAUCAUAAGCUCAUCAGGUGGAGAUUUGUUAUCCAUGGAGGGGUGGACGGAUUCGGUCGUCUUGUGGUCUACCUCACUGUGGCUGGCAAUAAUAGAGCCAGUACGGUCUUACGGAGCUUCAUGACUGCUGUUGAGCAGUAUGGACUGCCGUCAAGGGUACGGUCUGAUAAAGGGAGAGAGAAUGCAGAUGUCGCAGAAUUUAUGAUCAGAAGUAGAGGUGCCGACAGGAAUUCACACAUCACUGGAAGAAGUGUCCACAAUCAGCGGUAAAUAAAUAGUUUCAAUAAAUAAACACAUACAGUACAUACAUACUACUGGUCAAACGUUAGUGAACCACACUUUUUCCUAGUGCUUUCAUUGAAAUUCCAGAUUAUUCAGUUCAUUGAACUUUGCUUUUCAGUCUCCACAGCUCUGCCAUUGAUGAGUGAGAAUAUGUUUUCAAGGAGUAGAAUCUAAGCUUUCCAGCAAUAUGACACUUGCCCGGACACUGAAACAUGGGGGGAGAGGGUCGUGCUCUGCUUCACUAUCUAACAAUACAUGUUGACAUUCAUGUUUCCUUCUGUGAACUUUACUUCCCAAGAAGACCACAGGAGAUGGUUCCAGUAAUCCAUGUCCUCAGUCUGUUGGUCUUCAGCAAACUGUGAAAGUUAUCAUUUCUUCAGUGCUGCCCCAUGAAACAUUAUAGAUCAUCAGCAGAAAUGAUUGAGAGGAUGUGGAGGGAUGUUUAUGAACACACACUGGACCUCUUCUACCAGAUCUUUACUUCACUGGAAGGUCAGGGAAUACUGAAUCCGGAUAGCGAGGUCCAUCUUUUUGCACUGCACCACACCUUCCUUCCUGUCAUUCAGCACAGCCUCAACAGUUUCAGAGAUGCCUGGAACUUCCAUGGUCUCAGAACCGAAAGGAAUCAGUCACCUCAGCAACUCUGGAUACGAUACAGAGAGCAAGGCCCUAUGGAGGAUCCUACACAGGUUUAUGAUGACUAUGGAAUCGACCACACCGUCUGGAUGGAGGCAUGGUGUCAGUCCCUGAGGUUCAGUUGGCACGUGAGCUCACAGAGGAAGAACUUGCCAUUUUGCCACAUGUAGGAUUAUCUGCAUCUGAUGCAAUACAAUGUUAUGUUGAAACCGUUGAAGUUGUGUCAAGAAUGAUGACAUAAUGUUAAAGAAAAUAUAGUUAAAUGCUUUGCAUUAUGUUCAGUCAUUAUCAGGACACAUAUAUCUGUGUCCUGUUUGUGAGGCCAGGUGCGCAUGAGAGGAGAAAACAUUCUGUCUGGGAUCAUGUCUGUGGCUUUGACUGUCUGUGACUCCUUACAUAUGUCACACUGUAUCUUUUUAUUAAUGAGUUGUUUUUGCCAACUUUUGUAUAACCACAUGAUUUGCUACAAUAAACCCCAAGGGAGGCUUCUCUCCCCUCAGAGUGGUAAA
RNA transcript from Neoarius graeffei (lesser salmon catfish), 2050 nucleotides. RefSeq lists it as uncharacterized. The record is from RefSeq and is a predicted model, not a curated record. Lineage: Eukaryota; Metazoa; Chordata; Actinopteri; Siluriformes; Ariidae. The transcript has 5 exons.